RNAcentral lists this ribosomal RNA (484 nucleotides) under uncultured bacterium. RNAcentral's name for it is "partial 16S ribosomal RNA". It matches the Rfam family "Bacterial small subunit ribosomal RNA", at positions 30 to 507 of the family's 1533-position model. The record is from RNAcentral.
AUUGAACGCUGGCGGCAUGCCUUACACAUGCAAGUCGAACGGCAGCACGGACUUCGGUCUGGUGGCGAGUGGCGAACGGGUGAGUAAUGUAUCGGAACGUACCUUUCAGUGGGGGAUAACGUAGCGAAAGUUACGCUAAUACCGCAUAUUCUGUGAGCAGGAAAGCAGGGGAUCGAAAGACCUUGCGCUGAUUGAGCGGCCGAUAUCAGAUUAGCUAGUUGGUGGGGUAAAGGCCUACCAAGGCGACGAUCUGUAGCGGGUCUGAGAGGAUGAUCCGCCACACUGGAACUGAGACACGGUCCAGACUCCUACGGGAGGCAGCAGUGGGGAAUUUUGGACAAUGGGGGCAACCCUGAUCCAGCCACGCCGCGUGAGUGAAGAAGGCCUUCGGGUUGUAAAGCUCUUUCGGCCGGGAAGAAAUCGCAUAGGCUAAUGCCCUGUGUGGAUGACGGUACCGGAAUAAGAAGCACCGGCUAACUACGUG